Molecule: ribosomal RNA, 593 nt
Filed under: Naganishia albida
Lineage: Eukaryota; Fungi; Basidiomycota; Tremellomycetes; Filobasidiales; Filobasidiaceae
Description: eukaryotic LSU rRNA
Rfam family: Eukaryotic large subunit ribosomal RNA
Source: RNAcentral
AGGCAUUCCCCUAGUAACGGCGAGUGAAGCGGGAAGAGCUCAAAUUUGAAAUCUGGUAGCCUUCGGUUGCCCGAGUUGUAAUCUAGAGAAGUGUUUUCCGUGCCGGCCCAUGUACAAGUCCCUUGGAACAGGGCGUCAUAGAGGGUGAGAAUCCCGUCCUUGACAUGGACCCCCGGUGCUUUGUGAUACACUUUCAACGAGUCGAGUUGUUUGGGAAUGCAGCUCAAAAUGGGUGGUGAAUUCCAUCUAAAGCUAAAUAUUGGCGAGAGACCGAUAGCGAACAAGUACCGUGAGGGAAAGAUGAAAAGCACUUUGGAAAGAGAGUUAAACAGUACGUGAAAUUGUUGAAAGGGAAACGAUUGAAGUCAGUCAUGCUCUUGGGACUUACCUCCCUUGAGUGGGGUCAACAUCAGUUUUGAUCGAUGGAUAAAGGCACUAGGAAGGUAGCACUCUCGGGUGAACUUAUAGCCUAGCGUCAUAUACAUUGAUUGGGACUGAGGAACGCAGCAUGCCUUUUGGCCGGGAUUCGUCCACGUACAUGCUUAGGAUGUUGACAUAAUGGCUUUAAACGACCCGUCUUGAAACACGGACCA